RNAcentral lists this ribosomal RNA (159 nucleotides) under uncultured bacterium. Its description in RNAcentral is "partial 16S ribosomal RNA". It matches the Rfam family "Bacterial small subunit ribosomal RNA", at positions 355 to 509 of the family's 1533-position model. The record is from RNAcentral.
UGAGGAAUAUUGGUCAGUGGGCGGGAGCCUGAACCAGCCAAGUCGCGUGAGGGAAGACGGUCCUAUGGAUUGUAAACCUCUUUUGUCGGGGAGCAAAGAGGCCACGUGUGGUCAAAAGCGAGAGUACCCGAAGUAAAAAGCAUCGGCUAACUCCGUGCC